This 555-nucleotide ribosomal RNA is filed under the name Escherichia coli. RNAcentral's name for it is "partial 23S ribosomal RNA". It matches the Rfam family "Bacterial large subunit ribosomal RNA", at positions 1233 to 1782 of the family's 2925-position model. RNAcentral also lists the same sequence under 1 other name. The record is from RNAcentral. Lineage: Bacteria; Pseudomonadati; Pseudomonadota; Gammaproteobacteria; Enterobacterales; Enterobacteriaceae.
GGAGCGUUCUGUAAGCCUGCGAAGGUGUGCUGUGAGGCAUGCUGGAGGUAUCAGAAGUGCGAAUGCUGACAUAAGUAACGAUAAAGCGGGUGAAAAGCCCGCUCGCCGGAAGACCAAGGGUUCCUGUCCAACGUUAAUCGGGGCAGGGUGAGUCGACCCCUAAGGCGAGGCCGAAAGGCGUAGUCGAUGGGAAACAGGUUAAUAUUCCUGUACUUGGUGUUACUGCGAAGGGGGGACGGAGAAGGCUAUGUUGGCCGGGCGACGGUUGUCCCGGUUUAAGCGUGUAGGCUGGUUUUCCAGGCAAAUCCGGAAAAUCAAGGCUGAGGCGUGAUGACGAGGCACUACGGUGCUGAAGCAACAAAUGCCCUGCUUCCAGGAAAAGCCUCUAAGCAUCAGGUAACAUCAAAUCGUACCCCAAACCGACACAGGUGGUCAGGUAGAGAAUACCAAGGCGCUUGAGAGAACUCGGGUGAAGGAACUAGGCAAAAUGGUGCCGUAACUUCGGGAGAAGGCACGCUGAUAUGUAGGUGAAGUCCCUUGCGGAUGGAGCUGAAA